GAUGAACGCUGGCGGCGUGCUUAACGCAUGCAAGUCGAACGGUGAAGGCGGAGCUUGCUCUGCUGGAUCAGUGGCGAACGGGUGAGUAACACGUGAGCAAUCUGCCCCUGACUCUGGGAUAAGCGCUGGAAACGGCGUCUAAUACUGGAUACGAGCUGCGAAGGCAUCUUCAGCAGCUGGAAAGAAUUUCGGUCAGGGAUGAGCUCGCGGCCUAUCAGCUUGUUGGUGAGGUAAUGGCUCACCAAGGCGUCGACGGGUAGCCGGCCUAAGAGGGUGACCGGCCACACUGGGACUGAGACACGGCCCAGACUCCUACGGGAGGCAGCAGUGGGGAAUAUUGCACAAUGGGCGAAAGCCUGAUGCAGCAACGCCGCGUGAGGGACGACGGCCUUCGGGUUGUAAACCUCUUUUAGCAGGGAAGAAGCGAAAGUGACGGUACCUGCAGAAAAAGCGCCGGCUAACUACGUG
Molecule: ribosomal RNA, 468 nt
Filed under: uncultured bacterium
Lineage: Bacteria
Description: partial 16S ribosomal RNA
Rfam family: Bacterial small subunit ribosomal RNA
Source: RNAcentral